This 568-nucleotide ribosomal RNA is filed under the name Bacillus toyonensis. RNAcentral describes it as "bacterial SSU rRNA". It matches the Rfam family "Bacterial small subunit ribosomal RNA", at positions 73 to 624 of the family's 1533-position model. The record is from RNAcentral. Lineage: Bacteria; Bacillati; Bacillota; Bacilli; Caryophanales; Bacillaceae.
UGAGAGCUUGCUCUCAAGAAGUUAGCGGCGGACGGGUGAGUAACACGUGGGUAACCUGCCCAUAAGACUGGGAUAACUCCGGGAAACCGGGGCUAAUACCGGAUAACAUUUUGAACUGCAUGGUUCGAAAUUGAAAGGCGGCUUCGGCUGUCACUUAUGGAUGGACCCGCGUCGCAUUAGCUAGUUGGUGAGGUAACGGCUCACCAAGGCAACGAUGCGUAGCCGACCUGAGAGGGUGAUCGGCCACACUGGGACUGAGACACGGCCCAGACUCCUACGGGAGGCAGCAGUAGGGAAUCUUCCGCAAUGGACGAAAGUCUGACGGAGCAACGCCGCGUGAGUGAUGAAGGCUUUCGGGUCGUAAAACUCUGUUGUUAGGGAAGAACAAGUGCUAGUUGAAUAAGCUGGCACCUUGACGGUACCUAACCAGAAAGCCACGGCUAACUACGUGCCAGCAGCCGCGGUAAUACGUAGGUGGCAAGCGUUAUCCGGAAUUAUUGGGCGUAAAGCGCGCGCAGGUGGUUUCUUAAGUCUGAUGUGAAAGCCCACGGCUCAACCGUGGAGGGUC